GUGCCUACGGGGGGCAGCAGUGGGGAAUCUUCCGCAAUGGGCGAAAGCCUGACGGAGCAACGCCGCGUGAUCGAAUGAAGGCCUUCGGGUUGUAAACUUCUUUUAUCAGGGACGAAGCAAGUGACGGUACCUGAUGAAUAAGCCACGGCUAACUACGUGCCAGCAGCCGCGGUAAUACGUAGGUGGCAAGCGUUAUCCGGAUUUACUGGGUGUAAAGGGCGUGUAGGCGGGAGUGCAAGUCAGAUGUGAAAACUAUGGGCUCAACCCAUAGCCUGCAUUUGAAACUGUACUUCUUGAGUGCUGGG
This 305-nucleotide ribosomal RNA is filed under the name uncultured bacterium. Its description in RNAcentral is "bacterial SSU rRNA". It matches the Rfam family "Bacterial small subunit ribosomal RNA", at positions 335 to 653 of the family's 1533-position model. The record is from RNAcentral.